Molecule: ribosomal RNA, 325 nt
Filed under: uncultured Actinomycetes bacterium
Lineage: Bacteria; Bacillati; Actinomycetota; Actinomycetes
Description: bacterial SSU rRNA
Rfam family: Bacterial small subunit ribosomal RNA
Source: RNAcentral
GACGAACGCUGGCGGCAUGCUUAACACAUGCAAGUGGUGCGACGAACCUUUUAGGGGCAAAGCCGCGAACGGGUGAGUAACACGUGGGCAAUCUGCCCAGUAGACCGGAAUAACUCAAGGAAACCUGAGCUAAUACCGGAUGUGCCGUACUUCCAUAAGGAGGUCCGGUAAAGAGAGCUUCGGCUAUUCGCUAUUGGAGGAGCCUGCGGGAGUAUUAGGUAGUUGGUGGGGUAAAGGCCUACCAAGCCGACGAUACUUAGCUGGUCUGAGAGGACGAUCAGCCACACUGGAACUGAGACACGGUCCAGACUCCUACGGGAGGCUG